This 469-nucleotide ribosomal RNA is filed under the name uncultured bacterium. RNAcentral's name for it is "partial 16S ribosomal RNA". It matches the Rfam family "Bacterial small subunit ribosomal RNA", at positions 28 to 507 of the family's 1533-position model. The record is from RNAcentral.
GACGAACGCUGGCGGCGUGCUUAACACAUGCAAGUCGAACGGAAAGGCCCUGCUUGCAGGGUGCUCGAGUGGCGAACGGGUGAGUAACACGUGGGUGAUCUGCCCCUUACUUUGGGAUAAGCCUGGGAAACUGGGUCUAAUACUGGAUAGGACCAUGCUGUAGGUGGUGUGGUGGAAAGAUUAGUUUCGGUAAGGGAUGAGCUCGCGGCCUAUCAGCUUGUUGGUGGGGUAAUGGCCUACCAAGGCGUCGACGGGUAGCCGGCCUGAGAGGGUGGACGGCCACAUUGGGAGUGAGAGACGGCCCAGACGCCUACGGGAGGCAGCAGUGGGGAAUAUUGCACAAUGGGCGCAAGCCUGAUGCAGCGACGCCGCGUGGGGGAUGACGGCCUUCGGGUUGUAAACUCCUUUCAGCCAUGACGAAGCCCUUGUGGUGACGGUAGUGGUAGAAGAAGCACCGGCUAACUACGUG